GCGUCUUUCCCUUCGGUCAUCCCACAAUCAAUUCGGAUAAUGUUGGUCAUGGACCGUAACCAUACACACUCGCGGCUGGCCUCAUGAAUAGCCAAAAUCUCAGAAUGGUUAAAGGAUGUGGCCGCGAUCGUCUGCUUCAUGGAAAGCCAUGAUAUGGCUGUACCACCAUGUGUAAAGACAUAGCCUGUCUGUGAUCGAGCAUUGUGCGGAUCCGAGAGAUAACCUGCAUCAGCAAAACCAACUAAACCUUCUUUGUUUUGGUUAGUAUAAAAUAGACCUAAGUCUUUCGUUCCUUGUAGGUAACGAAGAACAUGUUUAAUCCCGUUCCAGUGCCUUUGGGUUGGACAAGAGCUAAACCUAGAUAGUAGGUUCACGGUAAAGCAUAUGUAUGGUCGUGUGUGACUAGCCAGAUACAUCAAAGCUCCUAUAUAUUAUAUUACACAUAAAAAUACCAUAAAAUACUCAAUAGUUUAUUUUUGGAAGUCUUUUUUAUAUGAGCUUGGUAGAUAUAUUCCUUUUUGGUCUAGUCAAUCAAGAUGUUUGAAACCAAACGUUUGGUUUAGUAAGAAACAUGUAUAAUCUCAUUAAUGUGUUGGGGACAUAAAUUAUGUUUUACGGGAGUUAGUUAUUAUAUUCGAAUAUGAAUAUUGAAAAUAAGGCAAAUUGUGUAUGAUAAUUAAUAAUAAUUUAAAAUAUAUACUUAUUAUUAAGACAGUGGCAUGAGAUGGUAAUUAUUGAGGGGAACUUAGGGCAAAGUACAAAAUGUACUACUCUUUUAAUAGAUUAGAUUAGAUAGUACAAUGUAAAAUAAUUCAUUAAUUCUAAAAUAAUAAUAGUAGAAAUGUGUAAGCCUCCCUUUGGCUAAAUAUAGAGACUUUUUCUGAUCAAAAGAUAAAUAUAGAGACUUCAGUUAAUUACAUACUAAAGUCUUUAUUACUCUGGAGGAGGAAGGUACACUGAAAUUAUUAAAACCAUUUGUGGUUUUAAUUUUAGCGACUGAAAUUUGCAUUCAAUGACUCAAAGUUGUUGUCACUUUAGUAAUAAUUCAAACUUGCAAUCCAUUGAAAGCAUCUUACGAAAGCAUCUUCAUUCUAACCAUUAGACAAACAAAAAGCUUUUCUUGUACUAAAGAUUCCUCUGACCGAUAGACAAGAAAGUGGCUUUAACCUAGUAGUACAAUAAUGUAAAAUAAUUCACUCACUUUUGAAAUAAUAAUAGUAGAAAUGUUUAAACCCCCUUACUAUGUAAUUAAAGUCUUUAUUACUCCUGAGGGGCAAGGUACACUAGCUUGCCACUCUAUAUAACUCACUCCUGAUUCCCCUCUUUAAACUCAACAAAUCAAAACACUCAUAUAGUGACCAUAUCAAUAUGAACAGCACCGAGAGAAAAGAUGACAAAGAUGAGAGUUCGACAUUUUACGAUACCGCAACCAAAGUCAUCGGCGUGGUUGGAGCCAUUGGAGCGGCCGCUAGUCUAUUCUCGUGGAUGACAUCAGGCUCAGAUGAGAACGGCCCGAAAGAGAAGAUGAUGAAGGCUCCUGGUGGGAAUGGUUCGAUUAUUCCUAGGGCACCUUUCGAAGCCAACCCGAGAGAUCACUUCAAGAACCAGCGUCAGCUUAAUAAGAAAUGAAAAAAAAAUGAUUAUGUGGAGAUAUUUAAUAUUUCCCACUUAGUUUUCUAUUAACUGCAUAAUAAACCGUUGCAUAUGACGGAUAUAUGUCUUAUAUGUAGCAUGUUAUAUAUAUGCAUCUGUAUAAUAUUGCAACUUUAUUUACUCGUGUAUAAUUUUAAUAAGUCAAUUUAUGGAUGUAAUAUUUGCUAUUCUACGUUUACCAAAAAAAAAAUUGUUAUUUUAGUAUAUUCAUGUUUAAAUUUGUUGUUUUCGGGAGCCGAUUAAGAAUGUUGACUGAGGCCAUGAAAUUUUGUUAAUCAGUAUAAGUCAUGUGAUAAAACCGUAGAAAAGUGAAGAUAGCAUGACCAGAAGUUUGCAAAUCGAAAUGCGAAGGAAGCUUAAGAAGUGAAUACAAUAUGGUGCUUGAAAUUAACCUUUGCUUAUCUUGUCCUCUAAGUCGUCGCUCUGGAUAAACAGGAUCAACAUGCAUUUCAUUAUUAAAUGUUCAAUUUGGAUGGUGAAAGUGAAUACAAAAGCUGGCUCAUAUGGGACAAUAGGUCAAUCCUUUUGCCUUGCGGAGGUGAAAAGUGGUCGAACUACUUCGCUUUGGCAUGGAUCGUGGUUCCCGCUAGGAUGUAUUUGGGACCAGUGGCAGAGGCCGCUUGUGGGGAGGGAGGUAACUUGACACCCCUAUGAAUUUCAGAGUUUUAGAAAAAUUACUUGUAUUUUGAAGAAACAAAAUUGUUUAAUUCUGUAAAAUUGAUUUAUUGACCCCCGUAACUUUUUCUCUCCGGAGUAACUUGACCCCAUGAUUUAUAUUCUUAAUACUACCAUUUUGAUAACGUGGGUAAAUGUCACUGCUUUUUUUUAACCCUGAUUUAUUAGAAAAUUUAUCAUUAUCUAUUAUAUACUAUUCCAUAUUAGUUUAGGAAAUUAGGUUAAUUUUUUCUCUAUAUAAACUAUGCAUUUGUAACAUUAUUUUUAUGUGAGUAAUAUAAUUCUUUCAUAAACACUUUUGUGUUCUUUACUCUCAUCAAUUUGUUAUGGUAUCAGAGCUGGCCCAACAUCCUGACCCAUUAAUCCGGUCCGGAUAAUGGUCCGAUCAUCCCAUUAGCUGAUGGCUCAUAGAAAGCUCAGUUCCGCCGAGAUUGCUAAAAAAUAAAGCAUAGUCUCGGAGGAGUAUUAUGGAUUCUGCGAGAUUGAUGGUUAUACGCAUCAUUAUCUCGAGGGAGGGCGUUGGAGAGAAUAUCACACAUUGGAAAUAUGUAAAAGACUUGAGUAAUAUAUAAGAGAUUUGAGCCAAUCCACUAAUUGUCAAUUGGUUUUAAGUUGGAAAUGCUGUAUAAUUGUUUAAUAAAUCACUUUCUCCUGGACUUGAAACCUGGAUUUCCUGUAAUCUGCAAAAAACUGCAUUGGGAUUUGAACUCAUACCUGGAUGUAGAAAGCCUUUAAACCUUAACCAAUAGACUACGGUGCUAUGUCACUACUUUAAUAGUUCUUUUUGGAGAAAUGGCAUUCUAAUUAAAACUUUAAUAAUCCUUUCCAUAUUUUCCUUACGUUUUAAUUUGUUUGAUUUUCUUUCCAAUUUUUCCAGCUGUCUAACAUUUCUAUUUCAGUAAAAAAAAAAAGCAAACUUUUUUGCAUUUUUCAUAACAUAUUCUUAUUUUAUUCUUCAUUAUAUUUUUGUCUUUAACCAUUUUGGAUUAUAGAGUUCCAAUGAAUACCAAAUACUAUUUUGUAGGUUAAUGUUUGAAUAAAUAUAAACUUUAAUAAUUUUAAUUUAUUUAAUAAUUUUAAUUUAUUUAACUAAUUAAUUUUAAUAAUUUGCAUAUCAUUUAUAUUCUAUUAUAAAAAAAAAUUGACCCAGUCAAACUAAUGUCUGGUUCCGCAUUGUUUGGGACUCUCGUGGGGCUUGAUGUCAGAUCGACAUGGGUAUCUCUACAAAUGCGACUGUAGAAGAAGCUAUGAUGAAUCUCUUAGCACAAAUGGAAACAUGGAUCAAAAUAGAAAAGGGAAUCACAGAAGAAAAUAAGAUUUCGUCAACAGUUAACAAUUAAUCCCAAUAUCCUACUAUAAUACUAAUCUCCAUAUAUAACUUAUGCAUAUUGAUAAGUACAAAGUUUACUCCACUAAUAGGAGUAGUACAAGAGAUGUCAAUCCAAUCAUAAGUUGUUUCAAGUAAUGAGAAUGCAUAUUAUUAGCUUAGUCUAACCAAUCAAAGUAGAAUUUAGUUGUAACAAGUGUCUAACUAUAACUCAAACUCAAGUAACAAGUAACCUAAACACAAACCUUCAAUCAGUAAUAAAAGAGAGUCCACGGGUGAUAUGUAAUUGAACUGAGGUGAUUAAGAUCCAAUUCAAGGUGCUAAUCAAACAAAUAUAAAGUUUCUAUAAGUUUUUUUUUUGAAUUAUACAGGGGUAUCCUAGCCCCACAACAGUGGUCCAGACUAGUCACGUGUCGGUCUCAUGUCUCUAAAGAUGCCGAAAUUUUAAUUCUCUAGUGGCCGGAAUUCGAACUUCGGUGACUUCACCGUAUUAGGCUUUUGCCAUCAAGUUAAUCACCACUAGGCCAAAAGCCCUAGUUAAGUUUCUAUAAGUCUAGAAGACACAAAAUAGAUUAAUUAUUUUCCAAGACAAUAAUCUCAAUGUAAUCAAGCAUUAAUUAUACAUCAAAUCCCGUUGGUCUACUUCAAUCAAACAUGUAUUAAGAACAAACACUACAAGAAAAAUGAGUUUUGAUAGCAAUACAGUAUAACGUUUUUUACCUUUCUGCUAUAAUUGACAUACCCUUUAGUUUUAGAUAACGUUUGCAAAAAUACAAACGCUAUGUUUGGUUGAUCCGAAUUAAAUUCUGAAAACACUUUUUAGAAACGUAGUAUAUAUAUAGCACUCUCAAACUUGAAACACUAUGCAUAAUUAAAGCGGGAAAAUAGUUGAUUUUCCCUCUCAUCCUUAUUUUACUUUCUCUCUCUAUAAAUUUCAUUUAUCAACUUUUAAAAACUCUAUACUCUAAACCAUAAACUUUAAACAUAAACCUUAAAGCUCAAGUAUUUUUUUUAUUUUAAUCACAAAUCAAAGUUUAAAUUCAAAUUUUAAUAUUAUUAAAAAUUAAAUUUUAAAAUAUCAUCUAAACUUCAAACCCUAAACUUUAGACUUAUAUAUAUAUAUAUAUAUAUAUCAUACCCCAAAUUAAUCUUUUUUUUGAAACACACCGAGAUUAAUUAUAUAUUGUAAACUCUAACUAAAAAUCUUAAAAACUCUAAUCGUUUUUAUUAUUUAACUUCGAAUCCAAAAUUUUAUCUCAAAACAUAAAAUCUAACCCUCCAACACUCCAAACCCUAUAUAUCACAAACAUUAAAAGACCCAAACAUUAAACUUAAACUUCUUAAAAUUGAAUCUCUUACAAUUUUUAAUCUAAAUUCUAAUAUUAAAUCUUUUCCUAAGCAUAAAAUCCAAAUUUAUGUUUCAAACUUUAAUUUCAAUUCUUAUACAUAAACCUUUUAAUCCUAUAUUCUAUUUUUUUUUUACCAAAAACACUUAAAACCUUCAUUUUAUAUUUUUACUCAUAAAACUGUAUUAUAAACAAUAAAAUAAAAUAUGAAAAUCUAUUUCUAUACGUAAAUUAAAUAAAAAUACAAACUAAGUUUCUUAUAACUUUAUUGACAAGAAAAUACUAUAUAGCAAAGAAAAGAUAAACCAAAAAUGAAAAACUUAUUGGCUAAUAAAAAUUGGUGGGGAUAAGCAAAACUUAAUCUCAACCGUUGGUAAACCUUAAUCUAGGUGAUGAAAUUUCAUUGGCUAAAGGUUGCCUCGUCUUUCUUAUUUUUCUUGUUCAUCUCAUUUUCUUCUCCUUACGGUUUACACAGAUCUUCACUUUCACUCUCUCUUUGUUUUAUUUGAUUAAUCCACCAAUUCUCACCGACCUAUCUCUCCAUCCCCGACAUCUCGCGACACCAACAUCUCGUGCUACCGCCAUAUCACCAAUGAGACAACGUCAUGAAGAGGAGGAAGAAGAUGCGGCGGAGGUGGUGCAUAGAUAAAAGAGGAAGAAGAGAUGCGGCGAGGUAAAUGGGACGAGCUUGCGGUGAUGGAUCCGGCGGAGACAAUGAAUCUUCAGAUCUGAAGAAGCUGUGGUGUGGAUAUGGCAGAAGUUAGGGUAGUGGUGUGGAGGUGGAGCCAAGCACGAAGAAGAUAGAUGAUUGAAGAUGUGGUUUAGAAAUUUAGGUUUAGUUUCUAUUUUUUCAAAAAUUGGUUUAGCUUGGCUUAGUUUGGUUUAGUUUAAUAUACCAAUCCUUAAAUAUGUAACUAAUAUCGAUAUUUUAAAAUUUUAAAAUAUUUUUAUUUUGUUA
Molecule: long non-coding RNA, 5959 nt
Organism: Brassica napus (rape)
Lineage: Eukaryota; Viridiplantae; Streptophyta; Magnoliopsida; Brassicales; Brassicaceae
Exons: 2
Source: RefSeq, a predicted model, not a curated record